UCUCCUUAAAUCAAGGGUUAAAGGGUAAGUGGUGUACAGUAAUAGAAACCAAGUGUGCUUGGGAACCAGACUUGAAAAGUGCGGGAAGGAGGGGUCUACUCGGAUACCACACUCCAGUGCCACAGCGGAGACCGAAAGAAGCAUAUAAAUGAGAUGCUGAGCCAACUGAAGUUGCCCAUCUGCUACACCACACAGCAUUCCAGGACCUUUCAAAAGCUGCAAAGGACAAGUCAAAUGCAACAAAAUGCCAUUCUGGACUUUCUCACACAAGAAUCUGAGAGAGAACAUCAAUGACAGAGAGAGAGAGACCGAGGCCAAAACAGGGAGUGUCACACUAUGGUGACACAGAAGCAGACACCUGAGCUGGGCGGAGCUACUGGAAUCCUGCAGCUGUUCUUCAUUAGCACCCUUUAUUAGCCUCUCCGCUUCUCCUGGCCAGCGCUGGAUUAUUCCUUCUAUCAGCUCCUUCUGCCGCAUGUUUGUUCU
Molecule: long non-coding RNA, 486 nt
Organism: Dunckerocampus dactyliophorus (ringed pipefish)
Lineage: Eukaryota; Metazoa; Chordata; Actinopteri; Syngnathiformes; Syngnathidae
Exons: 3
Source: RefSeq, a predicted model, not a curated record